Molecule: long non-coding RNA, 231 nt
Filed under: Homo sapiens (human)
Lineage: Eukaryota; Metazoa; Chordata; Mammalia; Primates; Hominidae
Description: HSALNT0192022
Source: RNAcentral
GUUUUUCUGGUAGGGCUUUCAGACCUUCAGAUAAAGGAGCUCUCGAAAUACAACCCAUAAGGAAUAAAGCCAUAGCCAGUGCUUCCCUGGGUUUGGGGAGUCAGAGGUUACAGGAAGGAUUCAUGGAAUCCCCAGAAGGCUGGAAGAUCAGGGUUGAGACAGUCGGAACCAAGGAAGCUCUGGAAACUUAAGAAGUAGGAGGCACAGCAAGUCUCACGGCAAGAAGAGCUU